This 457-nucleotide ribosomal RNA is filed under the name uncultured bacterium. RNAcentral's name for it is "bacterial SSU rRNA". It matches the Rfam family "Bacterial small subunit ribosomal RNA", at positions 340 to 786 of the family's 1533-position model. The record is from RNAcentral.
UACGGAAGGCAGCAGUGGGGAAUAUUGGACAAUGGGCGCAAGCCUGAUCCAGCCAUGCCGCGUGUGUGAAGAAGGCCUUCGGGUUGUAAAGCACUUUUGUCCGGAAAGAAAAGCUUAGGGUUAAUAACCUUGAGUCAUGACGGUACCGGAAGAAUAAGCACCGGCUAACUUCGUGCCAGCAGCCGCGGUAAUACGAAGGGUGCAAGCGUUACUCGGAAUUACUGGGCGUAAAGCGUGCGUAGGUGGUUUUGUUAAGUCUGAUGUGAAAGCCCUGGGCUCAACCUGGGAAUGGCAUUGGAAACUGGCUUACUAGAGUGCGGUAGAGGGGUGUGGAAUUCCCGGUGUAGCAGUGAAAUGCGUAGAUAUCGGGAGGAACAUCUGUGGGCGAAGGCGACACCCUGGGACCAGCACUGACACUGAGGCACGAAAGCGUGGGGAGCAAACAGGAUUAGAUACC